CCUGGGUGCUGGACCCCACCUGACAAAAGGCCUACUGCCUCCUGUCAUUGAGGAGCAAUGACUUCAAGGUCACAGCUGUCUCUCCAGGGCCCCUGAGGUGGGGGAAGGGAAUGAGAGUGCCUAAACUUCAUAAUUGAGAACAGGAGACCUGGCCCUUGCCCAUCUUUGCUGGGAUACUGGACUUCGUAACCUUGCUUGCAUCCACUGUUCAUGGGACCAUGUAGCAUGCUCUCCUUUGGAAAAUUACUAAACAUAGGAUUAGCAGCACCUGGAAAUGUCAGGAAGGCCCGACAAAGUCUGAAGCAAGUAAAAAAUAUUUUUAUUUGCAGGUUCUCGGGUAAGGUGACAAGCCUAGGAAAAUAGGUACUUUUAAUUCCCCAAGUGGGGAAAACAGAGCCAGUUUUCUUGACAUAAUUAUCGUUUCAUCUGUUCAAGGUAUGGAGAAUGCCAACUACUGUCCCAGAAUGGACCCGAGUAAUUGAAACCAGUUGUGAGUGGAAAUUCUAGAAGGGUAAUACUAGAACUUACACGGCUUACCAUUAUUUAGGUGGUUGUCUGAAGAGUUCAUGCAAAAUAAUUUGGAGUGCUGGAGGUAAUUGGAGAGACCCCUAAUAUCAUUAAAGGUCUGAAAGAUGCCAGGGGUGCUGGAGUGGGAUCAAGAAAGAGGUGUCAGUUCCCGAGCUCCCAGCAGUGACUGUCAGCAAGGGACAGAAGGUGAAUGCAGCUUGUUAGGCGUAUGGCAACAGCAAAGAAGCAGGCUUCUAUGUAACCUGUUAGGGAUGGAACCCUGA
This 791-nucleotide long non-coding RNA is filed under the name Bos indicus x Bos taurus (hybrid cattle). RNAcentral describes it as "lncRNA (ENSBIXG00000004783.1)". The record is from RNAcentral. Lineage: Eukaryota; Metazoa; Chordata; Mammalia; Artiodactyla; Bovidae.